RNAcentral lists this unclassified non-coding RNA (217 nucleotides) under Hevea brasiliensis (rubber tree). Lineage: Eukaryota; Viridiplantae; Streptophyta; Magnoliopsida; Malpighiales; Euphorbiaceae. The record is from RNAcentral.
CCUCUUAAAUUUCUACAAAAAUCCUCUGUCGGUGCAUUCACCUCCACUCAUUCUCCAACAGAUACGCAAAAAGUGCUCCAACUGCUAACUUAUUGAAAGCCAAAUUCCAUUUGAUUCCAUUUGAAGUAAAGAAACAAAUCCCAAAUUGAUAGAACAAUUAAGCUCCAAUCCACUUUAAUUGACUACCCAUUUCUUGAAUUUGAACCAGAUACUAAAU